Molecule: ribosomal RNA, 397 nt
Filed under: uncultured bacterium
Lineage: Bacteria
Description: partial 16S ribosomal RNA
Rfam family: Bacterial small subunit ribosomal RNA
Source: RNAcentral
AUACGUAGGGGGCGAGCGUUGUCCGGAAUGAUUGGGCGUAAAGCGCGCGCAGGUGGUUCUUUAAGUCUGAUGUGAAAGCCCCCGGCUCAACCGGGGAGGGUCAUUGGAAACUGGGGAACUUGAGUGCAGAAGAGGAUAGUGGAAUUCCAAGUGUAGCGGUGAAAUGCGUAGAGAUUUGGAGGAACACCAGUGGCGAAGGCGACUGUCUGGUCUGUAACUGACACUGAGGCGCGAAAGCGUGGGGAGCAAACAGGAUUAGAUACCCUGGUAGUCCACGCCGUAAACGAUGAGUGCUAAGUGUUGGGGGGUUUCCGCCCCUCAGUGCUGCAGCUAACGCAUUAAGCACUCCGCCUGGGGAGUACGGUCGCAAGACUGAAACUCAAAUGAAUUGACGGGG